This 532-nucleotide ribosomal RNA is filed under the name uncultured bacterium. RNAcentral's name for it is "bacterial SSU rRNA". It matches the Rfam family "Bacterial small subunit ribosomal RNA", at positions 774 to 1304 of the family's 1533-position model. The record is from RNAcentral.
AGAGAAUAGAUACCCGGGUAGUCCACGUCCUAAACGAUGCAUAUUUGGUGUGGGCAGUUCAGUCUGUCCGUGCCGGAGCUAACGCGUUAAAUAUGCCGCCUGGGGAGUACAGUCGCAAGGCUGAAACUCAAAGGAAUUGACGGGGGCCCGGCACAAGCGGUGGAGCAUGUGGUUCAAUUCGACGCAACGCGAAGAACCUUACCUGGGCUCGAACGGCUGGUCAACGCCGGUGGAAACAUCGGUACCCCGCAAGGGGGUCCAGUCGAGGUGCUGCAUGGCUGUCGUCAGCUCGUGUCGUGAGAUGUUGGGUUAAGUCCCGCAACGAGCGCAACCCUUGUCCUGUGUUGCCAUCAUUCAGUUGGGAACUCGCAGGAGACCGCCAGGGAUAACCUGGAGGAAGGUGGGGAUGACGUCAAGUCCUCAUGGCCUUUAUGUCCAGGGCUACACACGUGCUACAAUGGACGGUACAAACCGCAGCAAACCCGCGAGGGGGAGCCAAUCGGAAAAAACCGUUCUCAGUUCGGAUUGCAGG